Molecule: long non-coding RNA, 248 nt
Filed under: Penaeus japonicus
Lineage: Eukaryota; Metazoa; Arthropoda; Malacostraca; Decapoda; Penaeidae
Description: uncharacterized LOC122258535
Source: RNAcentral
AGACAUGACGUCACCGGUUUUGAGGGUAUGGAUGAGGGUAGGUGGGUAUGUCUCACCCUACCCCCCUCCCCUCCCCUCCCCAAACCACUUCGCAAGCAUCGGAACACUGAGAUCGUCGUCAAAUGCUGAGAGAGACUUCUUCAGAAUCGCCGGAUGACAAAACUCGGCGUAUGAGAGAGAAAGAGAGAGAAAUGGAGAGAAAGCGAGAGAGAGAAAAAGUAAGUAUUGGCACUCGAUCAAAAGUUUUA